This 499-nucleotide ribosomal RNA is filed under the name uncultured bacterium. RNAcentral's name for it is "bacterial SSU rRNA". It matches the Rfam family "Bacterial small subunit ribosomal RNA", at positions 31 to 507 of the family's 1533-position model. The record is from RNAcentral.
GAACGCUGGCGGCGUGCCUAAUACAUGCAAGUCGAGCGGAAUGAUGAAGAAGCUUGCUUCUUCUGAUUUUAGCGGCGGACGGGUGAGUAACACGUGGGCAACCUACCUUGUAGAUUGGGAUAACUCCGGGAAACCGGAGCUAAUACGGGAUGAUCAUUUGAAUCGCAUGAUUGAAAUGUAAAAGUGGGGAGUAAUCCUCACACUAUGAGAUGGGCCCGCGGCGCAUUAGCUAGUUGGUAAGGUAAUGGCUUACCAAGGCAACGAUGCGUAGCCGACCUGAGAGGGUGAUCGGCCACACUGGAACUGAGACACGGUCCAGACUCCUACGGGAGGCAGCAGUAGGGAAUCUUCCACAAUGGGCGAAAGUCUGAUGGAGCAACGCCGCGUGAGUGAAGAAGGUUUUCGGAUCGUAAAACUCUGUUGUAAGGGAAGAACACGUACGAGAGUAACUGCUCGUACCUUGACGGUACCUUAUUAGAAAGCCACGGCUAACUACGUG